RNAcentral lists this unclassified non-coding RNA (314 nucleotides) under plant metagenome. Its description in RNAcentral is "partial contains 5.8S ribosomal RNA, internal transcribed spacer 2, and large subunit ribosomal RNA". The stretch from base 1 to 104 matches the Rfam family "5.8S ribosomal RNA", at positions 51 to 154 of the family's 154-position model. The record is from RNAcentral.
AACUGCGAUAAGUAAUGUGAAUUGCAGAAUUCAGUGAAUCAUCGAGUCUUUGAACGCACAUUGCGCCCCCUGGCAUUCCGGGGGGCAUGCCUGUCCGAGCGUCAUUGCUGCCCUUCAAGCCCGGCUUGUGUGUUGGGUCGUCGUCCCCUCCGGGGGACGGGCCCGAAAGGCAGCGGCGGCACCGCGUCCGGUCCUCGAGCGUAUGGGGCUUUGUCACCCGCUCGAUAAGGACCGGUCGGGCGCCAGCCGGCGUCUCCAACCUUUUUUUCUCAGGUUGACCUCGGAUCAGGUAGGGAUACCCGCUGAACUUAAGC